CGCGGCCUAUCAGCUUGUUGGUGGGGUAACGGCUUACCAAGGCGACGACGGGUAGCCGGCCUGAGAGGGCGACCGGCCACACUGGGACUGAGAUACGGCCCAGACUCCUACGGGAGGCAGCAGUGGGGAAUAUUGCACAAUGGGCGCAAGCCUGAUGCAGCAACGCCGCGUGCGGGAUGACGGCCUUCGGGUUGUAAACCGCUUUCAGUAGGGACGAAGCUAACGUGACGGUACCUACAGAAGAAGGACCGGCUAACUACGUGCCAGCAGCCGCGGUGAUACGUAGGGUCCGAGCGUUGUCCGGAAUUAUUGGGCGUAAAGGGCUUGUAGGCGGUCCGUCGCGUCAAGAGUGAAAACUCGGGGCUUAACCCCGAGCCUGCUUUUGAUACGGGCGGACUAGAGGGAUGCAGGGGAGAACGGAAUUCCUGGUGGAGCGGUGGAAUGCGCAGAUAUCAGGAGGAACACCGGUGGCGAAGGCGGUUCUCUGGGCAUCACCUGACGCUGAGAAGCGAAAGCGUGGGGAGUAAACAGGCUUAGAUACCCUGGUAGUCCACGCCGUAAACGGUGGGCACUAGGUGUGGGGGACAUUCCACGUUCUCCGUGCCGAAGCUAACGCAUUAAGUGCCCCGCCUGGGGAGUACGG
This 643-nucleotide ribosomal RNA is filed under the name uncultured bacterium. RNAcentral's name for it is "bacterial SSU rRNA". It matches the Rfam family "Bacterial small subunit ribosomal RNA", at positions 232 to 885 of the family's 1533-position model. The record is from RNAcentral.